This 497-nucleotide ribosomal RNA is filed under the name uncultured bacterium. RNAcentral's name for it is "partial 16S ribosomal RNA". It matches the Rfam family "Bacterial small subunit ribosomal RNA", at positions 28 to 507 of the family's 1533-position model. The record is from RNAcentral.
GACGAACGCUGGCGGCGUGCCUAAUACAUGCAAGUUGAGCGCUGAAGGUUGGUACUUGUACCAACUGGAUGAGCAGCGAACGGGUGAGUAACGCGUGGGGAAUCUGCCUUUGAGCGGGGGACAACAUUUGGAAACGAAUGCUAAUACCGCAUAAAAACUUUAAACACAAGUUUUAAGUUUGAAAGAUGCAAUUGCAUCACUCAAAGAUGAUCCCGCGUUGUAUUAGCUAGUUGGUGAGGUAAAGGCUCACCAAGGCGAUGAUACAUAGCCGACCUGAGAGGGUGAUCGGCCACAUUGGGACUGAGACACGGCCCAAACUCCUACGGGAAGCAGCAGUAGGGAAUCUUCGGAAAUGGACGAAAGUCUGACCGAGCAACGCCGCGUGAGUGAAGAAGGGUUUCGGAUCGUAAAACUCUGUUGGUAGGGAAGAACGUUGGUGAGAGUGGAAAGCUCAUCAAGUGACGGUAACUACACAGAAAGGGACGGCUAACUACGUG